Long non-coding RNA from Sarcophilus harrisii (Tasmanian devil), 1615 nucleotides. RefSeq lists it as uncharacterized. The transcript has 3 exons. Lineage: Eukaryota; Metazoa; Chordata; Mammalia; Dasyuromorphia; Dasyuridae. The record is from RefSeq and is a predicted model, not a curated record.
ACUCUACUCAUCGUAUUACAUUUUAGGAAAGUUUAGUAAAAAGGGAUGUGAGAGGAUUCUGCCCUGGCCAGAUGUGGAAUCUGUGGCAAUGUGUGGUACAUGUGAGCUCUUUUAUGAGUGUAUUUGAGGUUCCUUGAAAUUUUUGAAGGACCUCUCUGAACGAGAUAAUCAGGCUCAAGACUGGGUGAGAUACAUAAAGCAUACACUUCCAUUGGACUUUGAGGUUCAGCACCCUAUGCAAGGUGAAAGGGGAUUUCCAGACUUUGAAGAAAGAUGGCAACAAAUUGGGUCAAACCAGCUCUUCUUUGUAAAAUGUUUCAUGGAUCAAAAUAGCAACUCUUCUGACUUAAUUCCUAAAAGAGCAACCCUAUGACCUUUGUCCUAGAGGCCUUUGGUUCAUUCUGACAGUAAUUACAUAGCCAUAGACUGAUUUUUUUUUUUUUUUUUUUAGCUAUAAAAACAAGAUUAUCCACAUUUUGAAAAAAAAAGUGCCUUGCCUCUAAAGCUAUGUUUAAACUAACCAAACAAAAAAUAACAUUAAUUUUAAAGACCCUGGGGAUUUUAAAAAUUAUUAUUAUAUUAGUGGCCAGCAUGCUCACUGCAUGCCAUUACUUUUCUGCUUCUUUGUGCUAAUAUCGAGCCACCGAAGCCAAGAACUUGCUAGCCAGAUGUCUUGAAGUAUUCUUUGCCUAGAUCCAAGGAAAGUUUGAGAUUCUUGAGCAGAUUCUUGCAUUUUCCUAAGAGUUACACUAGGUUAGGCUACAGCCUCUCAUUGAUGGCAUUUAACUUGAUGACAACACUUGGAGUAGUAAUGUCUGAAGGACAGCAUGCUUCUGAAAUCUUGUGAAAAAGAAGGUUGAACUGAACGUUAUGGUUCAUUUGGGAGUCGGAGAAGGGCAAGUGGACAAUAACUUUGCAUGCUGUAGAUCAUGGAAAUGGUCAUGUCUUCAAAAAGCCAAGUCAGGAUCUUGAAGUGUACUUCCCAUCACAUCUGCAGGAGUAGACUGCAAUCUAUCAAUGGUGAAUGUUAUAUAAAAAAAUUGUCUACUAAGCUUUAAUGGAUUGAACCAUUUGUGGUAUAUGUCUGUGCAACAUGAUUCUUAUAAAUGUGCCCUAAACUAGAAAAAAUAUGGUUUCAACUCUGCUAAGCAAACUAAUGCCGUGAUGGAAAGGUCAGCAAAUAGUGGUGAGUUUCUUUGAACUGUGAUACUAAAUCUACUUUAAUGUUGUCUAACAACCUUAUGCCUCUUGGUUUGUCAGUGAGGGAGAAGGAUGCCUGUCUCUUUAGAAAAGCAAAGCAUUCCCCUAUCCACACUUCAUAGGGAGAAGGGCCAAUUAGACCUCAGGCUGAGGGUUCAGUGUCAAGAGAUCUUUCCUCAUGGUCAGCUCCAUAUAUAGAAUAUAUCUACUUUUCUCUAACACUUUUUAGUCUUUUAUCCCUGUUGGGAAAACAGCCACUUAUUAACUACUGGAAAAUUCAUGAGGAGGGGGAAGAAAAAAAGUGGUUUGUCAUUCUUGAGUUAUUAAAGCCAAAAAAUGGAUCUGUUUAACUUUUAAUAGGGUGCAAGUUAAAAUAUUUUCUUUAAAGAGAUGGAAGAAAAUACUGUAGCUUUAA